CAAUAGCGUAUAUUAAAGUUGUUGCAGUUAAAAAGCUCGUAGUUGGAUUUCUGGUGGGGGUCGCUGGUCCGCUGCGAAAGCGGCGUGUACCGAUGCGUACCUACCGCCAUCCUCGGGGGGACUGCCUGUGGGAUUAGUUUCUCGUGCGUAUGGACGCCCGUCUUUUACUGUGAAAAAAUUAGAGUGUUCAAAGCAGGCUGAGGCCGUUGAAUACAUUAGCAUGGAAUAAUAAGAUAGGACCUUGGCGGUCUAUUUUGUUGGUUUGCACGCCAAGGUAAUGAUUAAUAGGGAUAGUUGGGGGUAUUCGUAUUCAAUUGUCAGAGGUGAAAUUCUUAGAUUUAUGGAAGACGAACUACUGCGAAAGCAUUUACCAAGGAUGUUUUCAUUAA
RNAcentral lists this ribosomal RNA (389 nucleotides) under uncultured eukaryote. RNAcentral's name for it is "partial 18S ribosomal RNA". It matches the Rfam family "Eukaryotic small subunit ribosomal RNA", at positions 592 to 976 of the family's 1831-position model. The record is from RNAcentral.